GACGAACGCUGGCGGCGGGCUUAACACAUGCAAGUCGAACGGAAAGGCCCUGCUUUUGUGGGGUGCUCGAUUGGCGAACGGGUGAGUAACACGUGAGUAACCUGCCCUUGACUUUGGGAUAACUUCAGGAAACUGGGGCUAAUACCGGAUAGGAGCUCCUGCUGCAUGGGGGGGGUUGGAGAGUUUCGGCGGGUGGGGAUGGACUCGCGGCUUAUCAGCUUGUUGGUGGGGUAGUGGCUUACCAAGGCUUUGACGGGUAGCCGGCCUGAGAGGGUGACCGGCCACAUUGGGCCUGAGAUACGGCACAGACUACUACGGGAGGCAGCAGUGGGGAAUAUUGCACAAUGGGAGGAAGCCUGAUGCAGCAACGCCGCGUGCGGGAUGACGGCAUUCGGGUUGUAAACCGAUUUCGCCUGUGACGAAGCGUGAGUGACGGUACUGGGUAAAGAAGCACCGGCUAACUACGUG
RNAcentral lists this ribosomal RNA (468 nucleotides) under uncultured bacterium. RNAcentral's name for it is "partial 16S ribosomal RNA". It matches the Rfam family "Bacterial small subunit ribosomal RNA", at positions 28 to 507 of the family's 1533-position model. The record is from RNAcentral.